ACUCCUACGGGAGGCAGCAGUGAGGAAUAUUGGACAAUGGGUGGAAGCCUGAUCCAGCCAUCCCGCGUGCAGGAAGACGGCCCUCUGGGUUGUAAACUGCUUUUAUCUGGGGAUAAACCUACUUACGUGUAAGUAGCUGAAGGUACCAGAAGAAUAAGCACCGGCUAACUCCGUGCCAGCAGCCGCGGUAAUACGGAGGGUGCAAGCGUUAUCCGGAUUUAUUGGGUUUAAAGGGUCCGUAGGCGGACUGAUAAGUCAGUGGUGAAAUCCGACAGCUUAACUGUCGAACUGCCAUUGAUACUGUUAGUCUUGAGUAAGGUUGAAGUGGCUUGAAUAAGUAGUGUAGCGGUGAAAUGCAUAGAUAUUACUUAGAACACCAAUUGCGAAGGCAGGUCACUAAGUCUUAACUGACGCUGAUGGACGAAAGCGUGGGGAGCGAACAGGAUUAGAAACCCGUGUAGUCCC
RNAcentral lists this ribosomal RNA (465 nucleotides) under uncultured organism. RNAcentral describes it as "partial 16S ribosomal RNA". It matches the Rfam family "Bacterial small subunit ribosomal RNA", at positions 335 to 797 of the family's 1533-position model. The record is from RNAcentral.